AUUGAACGCUGGCGGCAUGCCUUACACAUGCAAGCCGAACGGCAGCACGGGAGCAAUCCUGGUGGCGAGUGGCGAACGGGUGAGUAAUAUAUCGGAACGUGCCCAGUCGUGGGGGAUAACGUAGCGAAAGCUACGCUAAUACCGCAUACGAUCUACGGAUGAAAGCGGGGGAUCGCAAGACCUCGCGCGAUUGGAGCGGCCGAUAUCAGAUUAGGUAGUUGGUGAGGUAAAGGCUCACCAAGCCGACGAUCUGUAGCUGGUCUGAGAGGACGACCAGCCACACUGGGACUGAGACACGGCCCAGACUCCUACGGGAGGCAGCAGUGGGGAAUUUUGGACAAUGGGCGCAAGCCUGAUCCAGCAAUGCCGCGUGCAGGAUGAAGGCCUUCGGGUUGUAAACUGCUUUGUACGGAACGAAACGGUGAGCUCUAAUACAGUUUGCUAAUGACGGUACCGUAAGAAUAAGCACCGGCUAACUACGUG
RNAcentral lists this ribosomal RNA (483 nucleotides) under uncultured bacterium. RNAcentral's name for it is "bacterial SSU rRNA". It matches the Rfam family "Bacterial small subunit ribosomal RNA", at positions 30 to 507 of the family's 1533-position model. The record is from RNAcentral.